AUUUUAGUUAUUCUUGGGCUGAUUCCCCAAGAGAGCACGAAGUGCCUAGAGUA
RNAcentral lists this transfer RNA (53 nucleotides) under Proasellus coiffaiti. The record is from RNAcentral. Lineage: Eukaryota; Metazoa; Arthropoda; Malacostraca; Isopoda; Asellidae.